RNAcentral lists this ribosomal RNA (797 nucleotides) under uncultured bacterium. RNAcentral describes it as "bacterial SSU rRNA". It matches the Rfam family "Bacterial small subunit ribosomal RNA", at positions 9 to 795 of the family's 1533-position model. The record is from RNAcentral.
GAGCUUGAUCCUGGCUCAGAUUGAACGCUGGCGCCAUGCCUAACACAUGCAAUACGAACGGUAACGCGAGGAGCUUGCUCUUUGGAGACGAGUGGUGGACGGCGGAGAAAUACUUAGGAAUCUGCCCAUUAGUGGGGGACAACUCGGGCAAACUCGAGCUAAUACCGCAUACGCCCUACGGGGGAAAGCGGGGGAUCUUCGGACCUCGCGCUAUUGGAUGAGCCUAAGUCGGAUUAGUUUGUUGGUGGGGUAAAGGCCUACCAAGGCGACGAUCCGCAGCUGUUCUGAGAGGACGAUCAGCCACACCUGGGGCUGAGACUCGGCCCAGGCUCCUACGGGAGGCAGCAGUGGGGAAUAUUGGACAAUGUGGGCAACCCUGAUCCAGCAAUGCCGCGUGUGUGAAAAAGGCCUACGGGGUUGUAAAGCACUUUCAGUAGAGAAGAAAAGCUUAACCCGAAUAGCGGUGAGUCUUGACGUAACCUACAGAAAAAGCACCGGCUAACUCCGUGCCAGCAGCCCCGGUAAUACGGAGGGUGCAAGCGUUAAUCGGAAUUACUGGGCGUAAAGCGCGCGUAGGCGGUUUAGUAAGUCGGAUGUGAAAGCCCUGGGCUCAACCUUGGAAUUGCAUUCGAUACUGCUUAACUAGAGUAUGGUAGAGGGAAGUGGAAUUUUCGGUGUAACGGUGAAAUGCGUAGAUAUCGGAAGGAACCCCAGUGGCGAAGGCGACUUCCUGGGCCAAUACGUACGCUGAGGUGCGAGAGCGUGGGGAGCAAACUGGAUUAGAUACCCUGGUAGUC